UACGGAGGAUCCAAGCGUUAUCCGGAAUUACUGGGCGUAAAGAGUUGCGUAGGCGGCAGAGUAAGCAGUGUGUGAAAUGACGGGGCUCAACCUCGUAUCCAUACCCUGAACUGCUCAGCUAGAGCAUGAGAGAGGUAGCUGGAAUUUCUAGUGUAGGAGUGAAAUCCGUAGAUAUUAGAAGGAACACCGAUGGCGUAGGCAGGCUACUGGCUCAUUGCUGACGCUCAGGCACGAAAGCGUGGGGAGCGACCGGG
RNAcentral lists this ribosomal RNA (254 nucleotides) under uncultured bacterium. RNAcentral's name for it is "partial 16S ribosomal RNA". It matches the Rfam family "Bacterial small subunit ribosomal RNA", at positions 524 to 776 of the family's 1533-position model. The record is from RNAcentral.